This is a long non-coding RNA of Orcinus orca (killer whale), 602 nucleotides long. RefSeq lists it as uncharacterized. Lineage: Eukaryota; Metazoa; Chordata; Mammalia; Artiodactyla; Delphinidae. The transcript is spliced from 2 exons. The record is from RefSeq and is a predicted model, not a curated record.
CAGAAGCCUGUCUCCUGCAAGUCCUGCAUUUGGAGCCAAGGCACAGAGAGAACUUAAGUAGCAGAUGGUGGGAACCAGGGCAGAAGGAGGACUCCUGAAGCCUCCGAAGGAAGGAAAUCAUUACAGGGCCCUACAGAAGUAGGUCAUGUGCUACAGCUGCUCGUAGUUUAAGAGGAAGAAACAUCGGCCCUCAGACCUGGAGCGCGACUCUUUCCAAAUGCUUGUGAGCAGCCCAAGGAAAACAUCCUUCCGAGGCUUAUCUAAUAACCAGCAUCUGUAAUCGUCUCAAUGUGCGCUCAGGGGUCCUUGGAGUUUGCACCUACUUCCCCGGGCCGCCGAGAUGCUGAAACAGAAAACAGCAACGGUUAACGAAGGGGAUUUAAUAGUUUGUGUUAAAGCUGAUAGGGCCCAUUAGGGGCUGUCAUUUUUGUAAACAACGAAGACACGUUACCCUCUCGUUGGGUGUGAAGUUGCCCCGCGCCGGACCCGCAAACAUUCGGUAACGGUCUGUAGAACACGCAGCAAAGACAAUUAAGGCACCCCUUGAAAAAGUCUGUUUUCCUCACAUAUUUGGUUUCUUGCUAAGUAAACUCAUAAAGAUC